This 266-nucleotide ribosomal RNA is filed under the name uncultured archaeon. Its description in RNAcentral is "partial 16S ribosomal RNA". It matches the Rfam family "Archaeal small subunit ribosomal RNA", at positions 717 to 982 of the family's 1478-position model. The record is from RNAcentral.
ACACGUCUACAUUAGACUACCCCUGUACGUCCCAGCCGUAAACUAUGCGCGUUAGGUGUAUCGGUGACCACGAGUCACCGAGGUGCCGAAGGGAAACCGUGAAACGUGCCGCCUGGGAAGUACGGUCGCAAGGCUGAAACUUAAAGGAAUUGGCGGGGAGCACCACAACGGGUGGAGCCUGCGGUUUAAUUGGACUCAACGCCGGGAAGCUCACCGGAUAAGACAGCGGAAUGAUUGCCGGGCUGAAGACUCUGCAUGACUAGCUG